Talpa occidentalis (Iberian mole) is the source of this 1274-nucleotide long non-coding RNA. RefSeq lists it as uncharacterized. The record is from RefSeq and is a predicted model, not a curated record. The transcript is spliced from 6 exons. Lineage: Eukaryota; Metazoa; Chordata; Mammalia; Eulipotyphla; Talpidae.
AAGUCACAUGUAUCUCUAUCUCCAUCUCUAACUAGAUAGAGUUCUGUUAACAAGAAUGCCAACUAACAAAGAUUUUGACAUUGAGAGUUGUUCUGGAGGAACAGAACUUUAUGGACUGAAAUGCCCUGUUCUUCAUCCUUGUUGCGUGUACCUUUUCUCCCUACCACAAAUCCAAUGUUAAGAAGCUGUACUUGUGAGUGCAGUUUAUUCCAGCAGUAUUCAUCUAAACAAAAUUAGUCAAGUAGUUUGUUGCAAUCCACCAAGACCUCUCUUAAGACAUCAGCUGAUCAUAGGACUUCUCAACCUCCAUAAGUGCGGUAGUGAAUUCUUAUAACAGAAGUCACAUGUAUCUCUAUCUCCAUCUCUAACUAGAUAGAGUUCUGUUAACAAGAAUGCCAACUAACAAAGAUUUUGACAUUGAGAGUUGUUCUGGAGGAACAGAACUUUAUGGACUGAAAUGCCCUGUUCUUCAUCCUUGUUGCGUGUACCUUUUCUCCCUACCACAAAUCCAAUGUUAAGAAGCUGUACUUGUGAGUGCAGUUUAUUCCAGCAGUAUUCAUCUAAACAAAAUUAGUCAAGUAGUUUGUUGCAAUCCACCAAGACCUCUCUUAAGGGAGGAAAAGCAGCAGGUCCCUGAGAGAACUGGGACAUGGAAGACAAAAGGGCAACUCUGGCAAACUGCCCAAAGAAGAAAGUUGCCGUAAGAGAGGACUAGAAGGGAGGACAGCUCAGAACCUGGCUACCCUCCCCCACCCACAAAGUCAGCACUCUCCGACCAACAGAAAGGAGGAAAAAAAAAACAAACCUAAAACAACAAACAAGAACAAACUGCUGAUCAAGCAGGACUGUGAGUGGAAAGGAAAUAUUUCAGGCACCACACCCUGUGAACUGGAACUGUGGAGAACCAUGCUGGAAUCGCUGCGGAGGUGAGCAAACAGUUCCAGGUGCCAUUAGAGAAAAACAGACUCCAAGGAGACCUACAAAUAGCCCAAGGCCAGCUGCAAGUUCCAAAAUCAUUGGAGUAAAUGAAGAUUCUUCUGACCUCACCCAUCCCAGAUGAAGGAUGGGUAGUCAUUGCCUGAAAAAGUUGAACAGGACAGGCUCUGGAUUCAAGGCAAGAAUCUUGCUAAAAACAGUAAGAACUUCGGGCCUCCCCGGUGGCUCAGAGGUUGAGCACUGGAUUGCGAAGCUGCCCGCUGCCUCUGCCUCUGCAGCGCCGGUUCGAUCCCCGGCUGCUCCCCGGCCACCAGAGGAGGGUCCCACAUGGCGCGCAG